ACCUCGGUGGUGUAGUAGUAGCACGCGUCCUCGGUAUGCAUGAAAAGCGAGUUCGACUCUCGUCUGAGACCGUA
This is a non-coding RNA of Parelaphostrongylus tenuis, 74 nucleotides long. NCBI's taxonomy places the organism in Eukaryota, Metazoa, Nematoda, Chromadorea, Rhabditida, Metastrongylidae. The record is from the annotation of a GenBank genome assembly.